This 287-nucleotide long non-coding RNA is filed under the name Meleagris gallopavo (turkey). Its description in RNAcentral is "lncRNA (ENSMGAG00000018664.1)". Lineage: Eukaryota; Metazoa; Chordata; Aves; Galliformes; Phasianidae. The record is from RNAcentral.
GUGCAGAAUUACUGCCCUUGAUUAUUUUUUUCCAUACACGCAGGAAACUUGCAAUCUUCUUGAAACUGUGGCCAGCUGCUCAGACACCAUUAUUGCUGCUUUACCUCCCCGCAGCUCCAGCGGUCAGCAUUUGCUUUAGAGGUGCACUCUCCAUCUCAUAUCAAGGCACAACCGCAGGACUGCCUCUUGUGCUGCUGUCAGUAUAACCACAGCUGUUCUCAUUCUGAAACAUUCAACAAAGUCCCGGGUGUUUCUUAUGUGGAGAUGCUAAUCAAGGUACUGUUUUG